UAUUGUUUUUUCUGUUCUUAUUUUGUUAGGUUUAUACUUGCUUUUUAGCUGAUCCCAGUUUCAUUCUCUUGUGUUUCCCUUUAAGGUCCCAAGAGACACUACCCACCCAGUUCUCCCUUCUUCUCCCCACUACUAAUGCAGUGUCCCUGACAGGGAAUUAAUAGCUUCUUUGGGAAGCAGGAGGUAGGGAAAUGGAAUGGGGAGAAGGGACAUAAGUGGAUUUUGGAGAAGUAUGGCGAGGAAUUUGGGAGAUACUGCUAAGGCAGCAUAUGGACUGCUGCACCAGCCAUGCCCCCUCCAUGGAAAGAAGAACACCCUCUCCAUGGAAAGAAGAAUAGCAUCUCUCUAGCUCGACGAAGAAGUUCUCGGCUCUCUUCAGACACUUCCUGAACUGAGAGAAAACAAAUAGCCCAUGUUAGCUGCACGUCUGAUGCUGCAAU
This is a long non-coding RNA of Trachemys scripta elegans, 440 nucleotides long. RefSeq lists it as uncharacterized. Lineage: Eukaryota; Metazoa; Chordata; Testudines; Emydidae. The transcript has 3 exons. The record is from RefSeq and is a predicted model, not a curated record.